The sequence is a regulatory RNA element, 260 nucleotides long. It matches the Rfam family "T-box leader". From Rfam's summary of the family: Uncharged tRNA acts as the effector for transcription antitermination of genes in the T-box leader family. T-boxes are found upstream of many aminoacyl-tRNA synthetase genes and some amino acid biosynthetic genes usually in Gram-positive bacteria. The record is from Rfam.
GUAAAUUCUGAGAUUGGAAAGAGUAGGUAAGCUCUGAAGCCAAAGCGAGUCGGGGGUGGUGAAAGCCUGAUGCAGAUAGACUUAUUGAAUGGUUCCAUGAGAAGCAGUGGGAAAUCUUUAGAGAGUAUCACUAGCCGUAGGUCUCACGUUACAGAGACAGGGUAUCGAAAUAAGAAAUUAUUUCCGUACUUGGAAGAGUGAGAUGAUUAAAAUCAUCUAAAAUAGGUGGCAACACGGAGUAGAAACAUUUCGUCCUAUAG